Molecule: ribosomal RNA, 952 nt
Filed under: Heligmonellidae gen. sp. DIHM-2020
Lineage: Eukaryota; Metazoa; Nematoda; Chromadorea; Rhabditida; Heligmonellidae
Description: partial large subunit ribosomal RNA
Rfam family: Eukaryotic large subunit ribosomal RNA
Source: RNAcentral
AAGAAACUAACAAGGAUUCCCCUAGUAACGGCGAGUGAACGGGGAGAAGCCCAGCGCUGAAUCUUUCGGUGUUACACCGCUAAGAAAUGUAGCGUAUAGGUGUGAUUUUCAGUUUGUGCUGCAUGUCCAAAGUCCCUUUGAUAGGGGCCACAUUCCCGAGAGGGUGCGAGACCUGUGCGGACGGUGGAGCAAGCUGUAUGAUCAUACCUUGGAGUCGGGUUGCUUGAAAGUGCAGCCUAAAGUGGGUGAUAAACUUCAUCUAAGGCUAAAUAUAGACGCGAAUUCGAUAGCAAACAAGUACUGUGAAGGAAAGUUGCAAAGAACUUUGAAGAGAGAGUUCAAGAGAACGUGAAAUCGCUGGAGUGGAACCGGAGAGAGUUGACGUAGUCCGGUAACUAAGUUUGCCAAUAUCGCUUAAUUGUGAUUGCGGCAGAUGUACGUUGCCUAUGGCUGCGCUGACAGCACUGAUUGUGCGUUCCGAACCGUUUACGUUGCCCAUCUUUCGGGAUGGUGUCUUGUUCACGGAUAGGUUUGUCAUGAUUAGUGUAUUAUCCUGCGUGCAGGGUGUCAGUGUGAAAGUCGACCACCUCUCCGACCCGUCUUGAAACACGGACCGAGGAGUGUAACUUGUACGCGAGUCAAAGGGUGGAAAACCCCAAGGCGCAACGAAAGUAAAGGUCGGUUAACCGGCUGACAUGGGAUCCGUUUCGUUCGAAGCGGCGCACCAUGGCCCUGUCUUGUCUGCUUGCAGAUGGGCAGCGGUAGAGCGUACAGGUUGCGACCCGAAAGAUGGUGAACUAUGCCUGAGCAGGACGAAGUCAGAGGAAACUCUGAUGGAAGUCCGUAUCGGUUCUGACGUGCAAAUCGAUCGAUAGACUUGGGUAUAGGGGCGAAAGACUAAUCGAACCAUCUAGUAGCUGGUUCCCUCCGAAGUUUCCCUCAGGAUAGCUGA